GUAGUAGCUUCAUCUGGUUUGAGUAUUCAGGUGACGGUGGGUUCAUAGGAUGUCUUUGAGAUUAUUCCUUCUUCAACCUUUUGGAAAAGUUUAAGAAGGAUGGGUAUAAGUUCUUUGUAUAUUUGGUGGAAUUCACCUGUGAAGCCAUCUGGUGCUGGACUUAUCUUUGUAAGGAGUGUUUUUAUUACAUAUCCAAUUUCAUUUCUAGUGAUCAGUCUGUUCAGUUGAUCUAUUUCUUCUUGAUUCAGUUUUGGCAGGCUGUAAGUCUCUAGAAAGUUGUCCAUUUCUUCUAGGCUGUCAAAGUUGUUGGCAUAUAAUUGUUCAUAGUAUUCUCUUAUGGUUUUGUGUAUUUCUGCAGUAUCCUUUGGUUGGGAUUCAAUGGCUGGCACAGCUGAGGCCUGGUUGGCAUCCUCUGGCAUCAUCUUUUUCACUUCUUAUUUUAUUUAUUUGAGUUUUUUCUCUCUUCUUGGUAAGUCUGGCCAGAGGUUUGUCAAUUUUCUUUACCUUUUCAAAGAACCAGCUCUUGGUUUUAUUGAUGUUUUCCUAUUGUUUUUUGAAUCUCUAUUUUAUUGAUUUCCUCUCUGAUCUUUAUGAUUUCCUUCCUUCAGCUGACUUUAGGUUUUGUUUGUUCUUCUUUUUCUAAUUCUUUUAGGUUAAGUUGUUGAUUUGAGAAUGAGAACAGGGAUGUGAAAAAGCCUUGAAGGACAGAGAGAAACAACAGAUGGUUCUGUUUGGCUGGAGGGAAGGGGGACGAACCCACACGGGGUGGCUGAGGGGCCUCAGGUCAUGCCCUCCCCUGAGCCCUUCCCAGAGGAUGCCAGCCAGGGCUCAGUGGUGCCAGCCGUUGAAUCCCAGCCAAAGGAAACAGGUCAGCAGCAGGCACAUGACCCAAAAUGGACCAACAAUGAUUUCCUGGAGACUUUUCUUCCACAUCAGUUUUUUAAGAAUCUUCAUUCAUCUGGGGUUGCUAAACUGACAGAGUGGAGGCUGCCAGGGCCAUCUCUCCACUGUGUGGAGAAGGCAUCUUAGGGACAAAGCAAAUGAUGCUGAUCAAGAGAACCAGAGACAGAGACUGAAAAAGGAUGCAGAGGACCCAGCUGGAAGCUCUGGCUCCAGCCACGCCCGAAAUUCGGAAUGCAUUUGUGUAUCUUGGACUUUCCAGUUACAUGAAGCAAUAGUUUUGUUUCCUUAAAUUCUGUGGGGAUUUUUGAUCCUAAUGCAGUGAGUCUGAGAUACCUCUGGACCAUCCAAAUGGGAAUGUCCAAAAUGUGUCUACAGCUCAGGAGACAAGUCAGGCGGCAUCACUGGAUUUGGGGGUGUCCCCGUGGAGUUGAAAGCUCAGGAGGGAACGUCACUGUCAGUGGAGACCCAUGAGUGAAAGAGCCUCGGGCCGAUGCCUGAGCCCCGGGGAGCACAGGGAGGGGAAACCAGGUGAUAAGACUGAGGAGGAAAACACGAGGGAUCUGGCACCAGAGAAGGAUCCACCCUCCCAGGAACACUGGAAACACACACACCCCCGAGGCUGGGAGGGGGAGGGGGGUCCAAGUGUAACUGAAGGUCAAAGGCCAGAUUCUACAGCCAUUUCCGCCAUCAUCUUCUCUCCGACAUGUGGCUAGUCCCUCCCUGAAGGUCUCUUCUGUGGGCUUCUCUACUGCCUCCUCGCUGUCCUGUCCCCAGCGUCUUGUCCCUCCUUCCUCCACGCCCCUCUGUGAAUCGUCAUUCUCUAGCCAGCCUUGAGCGUGUAGUGUUUCUCAAGGAUCUGAGACUUGAGUUUCUUGCUACUUCCUGCUAUGCAUUUGCUAGCCCAGUGACAGCCCAUAACUGUCAGACCUCCAGUACAAUCCUGGAGUCCCCAAAUCCACACCCAUAGCUCAGGAGCCACUGAAACUGUGUGGUCCAGGCAGGUCUCCUCCCUAAACAGAUGUCAGGUCUGUUCAUGGAGAAUUGUGAAGGAAGAACUCCCCGAGAGAGCAACCAGGGACCACUGGGGCCACCGCCUCCAGGUGUGCAUGUUGAGCACUGCACAAAAAUGCUCAGAGGAAAACCCCCCCUGGGCUGAAAUCAGGCCUGUGCGCCACUUUCCAGGCCACUCUCUUUGGGGCUGGGCUGUGUCCCCCAGGAGAAGAGCUGUCGUUUCCUCAUCAGCACAAUGGCGCUUGCCAAAGCCACACACCUGAAAACCUCUUACUACCCAGACUGGCGCCUUUUCUAGUUUUGUUUUUUUGUUUUGUUUUGUUUUGCUUUUUAGGCAGAACUUACAGCAUACGGAGGUUCCCAGGCUAGGGGUCAAAUGGGAGCUACAGCUUACGGCCUAUACCACAGCCCCAGCAACACAGGUUCCAAGCCAUGUCUGUGACCUGCACCACAGUUCACGGCAAGGCCAGACUCAACUCACUGAGCAAGGCCAGGGAUUGAACCCGAAACCUCACAAUUACUAGGCAGAUUCAUUUCUGCUGCGCCCCAAAGGGGAAUUCCUAGUUUUUCCAAAGACAAAUUUUGGACUGACAGAGGCUCAGGGGACUCAGAAGACCUUGAGUAAGGGGGGAUCUUUCCAGAGAGCAGAGCAGGGGACUGUCACAUAACCAAGGGACUGCCUCCUUUGUGAUGGAGGGAGUCUUCAGACGUCCUGUCCUAGAGGACUGGUGGUUGUGUCAGACCCGUGGCUGUGCCAGCUUUCCAUUCUCGCCUUUUCCAACAAUGUGUGUAUGGCGGUUGCCCUGCUUCUUCUCCGCCACCGCACACCGAGCAUGUCGGGAGCGGCAGAGAUGACCUGGCCCGGGAGGGUUUCAGUCACCAACAGUAAGGACGUCCCAGUGUGAAGGCAUAUGCACUGCCCCUCAGACAGAGACCCCGGCUUCAAGUUGCUCAAGACUUCGGGGUUGUCUCCCUCAAGACGGAGGUGUCUUCUUUGUAGAAGGACAAGAGUAUAUUUGGUUCCCAAAAUGGUGCGCUGAGGCCAGGUGCAAGUUGCUAGCUUAAAGAUUAUACUUCUCAGCCUCCCAUAUACUUACGUGUAGCCAUUGGUUUACAUUUUAGCCAAUAGUAUGAAACCAAAGUUGCUGCAGAGUACUUAAAAAGAAGAUUAGACAGUUGCUGGUGUAGGCAUUAUUUUCCUACUCUUUCUCCUGCUUCUUGCCUGGAAAGUAAAGAUGAUGGCUGGUGCUCUAGCAGCCAUAUCUGACUAUGAGGCAAUUCCAAGAUGGAAGCUACAAACUAAAAUGGUGACACAGAAAGAUAGCAGUGUUCCUUGGCCCCUAAAAGACACACCAGGUUUUUGUUUUUGUUUUUGUUUUGUCUUUUUAGGGCCACACCUGUGGCAUAUGAAAGUUCCUAGACUAGGGGUCGAAUCAGAGUUGCAGCUGCUAGCCUAUACCACAGUCACAGCAACCCUGGAUACCAGCUAUGUCUGUCACUUACACUGAAUCUCGCAGAAGUGCCAGUUCCUAACUCACUGAGCAAGGCCAGGGAUUGAACCUGAGUCCUUAGAGAUAUUAGUCGGGUUCUUAACUUGCUGAGCUACAACAGGAACUCCAUUAUGCCAGUCUUUUCAUGUUAACUACAGUGUACCUUCAUCUGGGGUAAGACAUGUUUUUUUCCUUGGGUUUGAUUCUAGUAACUAAAUGUAAUUCCUAACAAAUACCCUAUAAACAUGCAGAAAAUUUUAUCUACGGUUGUACUCUCUCCCACUAAGUCAAAGCUGAUGUGCCAGCUACCUCAAACUCAACACUUUCAAAAUCAAAUUCAUCUUCACUGUGUCCAGCCCCAUCCCCCACUGAGUCUGUUCUUCAGCUUGGGGUGUGUGGGGAUGAGUAACUGAAGAGCUGACAAGCAGUGGAGCCUGGACCUCAGGAAGAUGGACAUAUACCAGGACUGGCUGCCUGAGAGUUAGGAGGAAGGGCUCCCAGCCACAUACCAGGACCCGUGCUGGGCUAAAACCCCACUGUGGAAUCCUCGCAGGCUCAGCUUGUCCCAGACUGAGGGUGUAAGGGUGAAUAAAUACCCAGCCUUAGCCGGGGAGACAGGAAUGGCCUCUCAGGAGGCCCCAGGUGUUUUUUAUGAGAGUGGAUAAACUAUGGCCCAGUUAUUACUGUUGUAAAUGUCUAGUAAUAUUUUAUCAUGAAAUGCCCCUAGAGGAAGCAUUGGGAAAAAACCUCUCAAUCAUGUCACAUCGGUGGCAGCCAGGAAAUGGCUGUGUUCUCAGGUUUAUUGGGCCUGAGUGAGAGGGAGGGUGUGUUUACAAUGUGUGCUGUCUGUGCUUGUGAAGUGUAUGGAGUGUAAAUAUGUACACACAUGUGUGCCCGUAGGAACCUGCUGUGUGCAGACAGCGCAUGAAGAGAGGGGGUACAGAUGGUCAAAAGGCACAUGAAAAGAUGCACGAAUUGCUAAUUAUUAGAGGAAUGCAAAUCAAAACUACAGUGAGGUAUCACCUUAACACCAGUCAGAAUGGCCAUCAUCAGAGUCUACAAAUAAAUGCUGGAGAGGGUGUGGAGAAAAGGGAACCUUCCUACACUGGUGGUGUGAAUGUCAACUGGAGGACAGUAUGAGGUUUCCUUAAAAAGCUAAAACUAGAAUUAUCAUGUGAUCCUACAAUCCCACUCCUGAGCAUACAUUGGGAGAAAACCAUAAUUGAGAAAGAUACUUGCACCCUGAUGUUCAUAGCAGCACUAUUUGCAAUAGCCAAGACAUGGAAGCAAUCUAAGUGUCCAUCCACAGAGGACGGUUAAAGAAGAUGUGGUACAUAUAUGUAAUGGAAUACUACUCAGCCAUGAAAAAUAUGAAAUAAUGCCACUUGCAGCAACAUGGAUGGACCUAGAGAUUAUCAUAUUAAUUGAAGUAAGCUUGACAGAGAAAGACAAAUAUCAUAUGCUAUUACUUAUAGGUGGAAUUUAAACAAAAUGAUACAAAGAAACUUAUUUACAAAACACAAACAGACCCACAGACAUAAAAAACAAACUUACAGUUUUGGUAACUGUAAGGGGAACAGGAGGGGAGGGAUAAAUUAGGAGUUUGGGAUUAACAGAUACACAAAUCUAUGUAUAAAAUAUAUAUCACAGGGAACUAUAUUUAAUGUGUUAUAAUAACCUAUAAUAGAAAAGGGUCUGAAAAAGAAUAUUACAUAUUUAUAAAGAGUGAAGGAGGCGUGUGUGCCUUUCCCAGGCAGGAACACCUGUGGUGUGAGAGUUUCACAUUUGUCUCGAACCUUCUUGUCUACACACCCCCUCCGACCUCACAAAAGCUUGUGAGGCAAGGAUUCAUAUUGCUCCUACUUUUCAAGGGAGGAGACUGAGGCACAGAGAGGCAGAAUCCCCCCAAAAGAAAUUUCCUUCAGGAAGAUGUCACCAUGCCCAGCGCCCUUUGAACACAAGGAACUCAGCGGGAGAGGAGGUGACGUGCCAAUCACUAGGAUGUCAGCGUCCACUUGUCCAUCAGAGGCUCCUGCAUCCCAGUCACGCAAGUAUCCGUUCACGUAGUCAUUUGUUCUGCAUUUGCUCAAGCACGUCAAGCCGCCGGCUUCCUGGCCAAGUGUGGGAGAGACGAGGGGAGAGACCUGGGCUCCCGUAAGUGGCACUAAGAGGACACAAGGCACAAGUGGGAGGAGAAUAGAAGACGGGGAUCUAAGGAAGGGAGCGUGGGCAACAUUUAAUUAAAUUGUGAAUACGUUUCAAGCUUUCUUUUCUUUACAAUGAGGCUCUGCCUGAUUGAAUUUCAGAACCUUGGAGUUUCUGUUCAAAAUGCCUUCCAAAAUUAGCACUGGGCCUCUGCAGCAUCCCCUGAGGUGCCCCAGGGCACUGCACCUCCCCUCCUCGGGCACCUGCUUCCUGGGGGCUCUCUCAUCCUGGAGGGGGUGGGAGUUACCAGACAGGGCUCUGACCCCAGCUCUUUCUGGAGGGAGCUGGGUGGCUCUGGAAAGUGGUCACUCCCUGGGUCUCCAUUUAUCCCCGGUGAAAUUAGCAGGAAAGUGGAGCUGGGAUUUGGGGGGAAAGCCUGAAUAUCCUUUGACGGCUCUGAAAGGGAGGGCAUUGUUGUGACAAGGCCAGGCCUGUGAGCCUCUGAGCCCAUAACCACUGCUCCUCGUCCGUUUGACUCUCCCAGUGCUUUCUCAUCUAUUCUGUGAAAUCUUUACUUCUUCCCUUCAAGACCAUUCUGGUCUGGAGCUCCUGUUGCGGCACAGCGGGUUAAGAACUCGACUAGUAUCCAUGAUGAUCCCGGUUUGAAACCUGCUCUCGCUCAGUGGGUUGGGAUUCCGGCGUUGCUGUGGCCGUGGUGUAGGUCACAGAUGCGGCUGUGUUCGACCCUUAGCCCGGGAACUUCCACAUGCUCUAGGUGUGGCCCUAAAAAGAAAGAAAAAAAAUGACCUUUCUGUUCUAAGAAAAGUGAAGUUUUAGAGGAGGUUUGAGGCUUCCCAGAAGCCUCAGAAUAAGUCAGUGUAGAAACUAGAAAUCAGACCCAGGACCCUGGGCCAGGGAUCCAAUCAUUCCUUGCUUCCUUCUUUCCAUACCUUCUGGGUACCAGGUGCACAGCAAUAAACUGGGCCUGGUGCCUGCUGGCAGGAGGGUGCCAUCUAGUGGGGGAGGGAGGCAAGCCCACACCCACUGUGACAAUGAUAGGGUGGAAUAAGCCAGCUGCAGAGAUGCAGAAGAGGGUCCCUCCACCUCGGCCUGCUGGGGUCACUGAGAGUCACUCUGUGCUUGCCCGGUGCAUCACAGUGGGAGGAGUGAGGCAUGGCUUGCAGCCCUGCCCAGAUGCUGUGGGCGGAGGGCAGGGGUGGUAGGGUGGGGGAUGGGGGGUGCAGGAGGUGAUGGCCCAUCCCAGUGGGUCUCGCUCCCAGCCUCCCUGACUCUAGCUCCUCCAUCACCCCUGUGUCUCUGAGUGAGCCCUGACCUCCGUUCCCUCUGGGAACCUUGGCUUGCAGGGGCUCAGCCUCCAGCAGGCCUCUGCACACCGCUGGGCUCUGGCUCUGGGAGGACUGGGGGUCAGGCGUUAGGCUGAGCAGGUGCACACUUGCUUCCCGUUUAGUCUCAGCGACUACAAAGGGCCGCUUGGAUUUCUGGGAGAAUCCUAUCCCCUUCCCUCCCCUUCAUUCAUGAGUUUUCUUUAUCAUUUCAUUUUUAACAAAAUACAGAGGUUAAUUUUCCGAGCUCAAAUCUGUUCCCAAGGUCAAAGCUGUUGCGAACACG
Molecule: long non-coding RNA, 7178 nt
Filed under: Sus scrofa (pig)
Lineage: Eukaryota; Metazoa; Chordata; Mammalia; Artiodactyla; Suidae
Description: lncRNA (ENSSSCG00045023587.1)
Source: RNAcentral